This 691-nucleotide ribosomal RNA is filed under the name Lacticaseibacillus paracasei. RNAcentral's name for it is "bacterial SSU rRNA". It matches the Rfam family "Bacterial small subunit ribosomal RNA", at positions 658 to 1349 of the family's 1533-position model. Lineage: Bacteria; Bacillati; Bacillota; Bacilli; Lactobacillales; Lactobacillaceae. The record is from RNAcentral.
ACAGUGGAACUCCAUGUGUAGCGGUGAAAUGCGUAGAUAUAUGGAAGAACACCAGUGGCGAAGGCGGCUGUCUGGUCUGUAACUGACGCUGAGGCUCGAAAGCAUGGGUAGCGAACAGGAUUAGAUACCCUGGUAGUCCAUGCCGUAAACGAUGAAUGCUAGGUGUUGGAGGGUUUCCGCCCUUCAGUGCCGCAGCUAACGCAUUAAGCAUUCCGCCUGGGGAGUACGACCGCAAGGUUGAAACUCAAAGGAAUUGACGGGGGCCCGCACAAGCGGUGGAGCAUGUGGUUUAAUUCGAAGCAACGCGAAGAACCUUACCAGGUCUUGACAUCUUUUGAUCACCUGAGAGAUCAGGUUUCCCCUUCGGGGGCAAAAUGACAGGUGGUGCAUGGUUGUCGUCAGCUCGUGUCGUGAGAUGUUGGGUUAAGUCCCGCAACGAGCGCAACCCUUAUGACUAGUUGCCAGCAUUUAGUUGGGCACUCUAGUAAGACUGCCGGUGACAAACCGGAGGAAGGUGGGGAUGACGUCAAAUCAUCAUGCCCCUUAUGACCUGGGCUACACACGUGCUACAAUGGAUGGUACAACGAGUUGCGAGACCGCGAGGUCAAGCUAAUCUCUUAAAGCCAUUCUCAGUUCGGACUGUAGGCUGCAACUCGCCUACACGAAGUCGGAAUCGCUAGUAAUCGCGGAU